This is a long non-coding RNA of Vigna unguiculata (cowpea), 513 nucleotides long. RefSeq lists it as uncharacterized. The record is from RefSeq and is a predicted model, not a curated record. NCBI's taxonomy places the organism in Eukaryota, Viridiplantae, Streptophyta, Magnoliopsida, Fabales, Fabaceae.
GUCUUUGCUGUCUUUUCAGUAACUGUCGUGCACCAUUUCCCACGUUUCAUCAUGACUCCUCAUCUAUCCCACCACGUGUACCAUAUCUAACAGAUGCCUCAAAUUGUGAAUAACACGAUCUUUUCCCACAUAACCUUUGCAGUUUUCGAAGCCUAAUUACUUCCUUCCCAUGUUCUUCUUCUUCAUCUCGUCGCUCUUUGCCAUUUCUCAUCUUUAUCCGUUUCUCUUUACUCCUUUUUCCAAAGGGGGGAUUGGUAUCAAGUUGAGAAGGAGAUUGGGAGAACGCAAGGAGAGGCUCAUUGCUAAGGAGUGGGAAGUGUAGGAAUUCUCAAAUUUUGGCAAGGAAAUCCAGGAGCAGAUAUUGAUGUAGGUGAGCAGGCUGAUACAUAGAGACGGAGUAGGGACUUCUUGGGGUUUUCAUGGAUUUUAUUUUAUCAGACUAUGGAUUUAUUUUAAUAGUUUUAUAGUCAAUUAUAUUUGUAAUACGAUAUUGUCGUGAAUUAUUCUAUCCGU